Numida meleagris (helmeted guineafowl) is the source of this 349-nucleotide long non-coding RNA. RefSeq lists it as uncharacterized. The transcript is spliced from 3 exons. The record is from RefSeq and is a predicted model, not a curated record. NCBI's taxonomy places the organism in Eukaryota, Metazoa, Chordata, Aves, Galliformes, Numididae.
CUUGACCACACCAGGGUUCCACAGUGAUGCCACAAUGCUGCUCACCUGCACUGGAGUCAGAGCAAUGGCAAGAGCCACAGCAGCUCAGGAAAGAAGUUUCAGAAAGCUGUGCUCUGAAGGCUGGACAAAUGCAUGAGCUUAAGACACACAGGACUAUUUAAUUUCCUGUUGCUCUGCUCCUGGAGGAGCGGCACGCUGCUGGAAAUACCUCACACCGCAAAAACCCCAGCAGAGUCCCGAGGAGUCAAAAAGAACUGAAAGAAAAUGCCUCAGUGGUACGAUGCCCAUCAGAGAACAGCAAAACCAGAAAAUUAAGUAGGACUGAAUUUUUCUAUCUGCUGUGUUAUUG